This 305-nucleotide ribosomal RNA is filed under the name uncultured bacterium. RNAcentral's name for it is "bacterial SSU rRNA". It matches the Rfam family "Bacterial small subunit ribosomal RNA", at positions 333 to 655 of the family's 1533-position model. The record is from RNAcentral.
UUAGCCUACGGGACGCAGCAGUGGGGGAUAUUGCACAAUGGGGGAAACCCUGAUGCAGCGACGCCGCGUGUGGGAAGACGGUCUUCUGGAUUGUAAACCACUGUCCCCAGGGACGAAAAUGACGGUACCUGGGGAGGAAGCUCCGGCUAACUACGUGCCAGCAGCCGCGGUAAUACGUAGGGAGCAAGCGUUAUCCGGAUUUACUGGGUGUAAAGGGCGCGUAGGCGGGAUGGCAAGUCAGAUGUGAAAUCCCCGCGCUCAACGUGGGAACUGCCUUUGAAACUGGCAAACUGGAGUGUGUGAGG